This 1158-nucleotide unclassified non-coding RNA is filed under the name Hevea brasiliensis (rubber tree). Lineage: Eukaryota; Viridiplantae; Streptophyta; Magnoliopsida; Malpighiales; Euphorbiaceae. The record is from RNAcentral.
CAUUUGACCUCAAAGAGUGAUGUCUACAGUUUUGGAGUAGUUUUGCUUGAAAUGCUGACUGGCCGAAGAUCUAUGGACAAAAACCGCCCAAAUGGGGAGCACAACCUUGUUGAAUGGGCAAGACCUCAUUUCGGAGAUAGGAGAAGGUUCUACCGGUUAUUAGACCCUCGUCUUGAAGGUCACUUUUCAAUAAAAGGUGCUCCGAAAGCCAUACAACUGGCCGCCCAGUGUCUUAGCCGUGAUCCCAAAGCUAGACCCCGAAUGAGUGAAGUUGUUGAAACACUAAAGCCUUUGCCCAACUUGAAGGAUAUGGCCAGCUCUUCCUAUUAUUUCCAGGCUAUGCAAGCAGAUCGUAACAAGUCAAGUUUGCAUAAUAAAAAUGGCAUCAGAACACAAGGAGGAUUUGUAACAAGGAAUGGACAACCACUGAGGAGCUUAUCCAGUAUAAGUGAUUCACGUGCUUCUCCAUAUAACCAGCCAUACCAGUCACCGAAACCUAAUGGGAAAAAAUCAUAGCAAUAUAGUUGUGUGUGUGUGUGUAUCUUCAACUGGCUCCUCUUGGUCAGUAGUUUCAUCAGUCACAUAUGUUAAGUAAAAGAAAUAGUACAGAGGGUGGUUCCAUCACUUUUCUCUGUGNNNGAGAGAUGAUUUUUUGUUAUCCAUCUGUUACACAUGAAAGGUGAAAUUACGGAACAAUGCUCCUCAACUUAUACGGUGCCAUUGUGGUAUGUAAUCAUCGAAUCAAAGAGUCCCAUGUCCUUUGCUUCCUGUUUGAUUACUUUCUCUUAUGAAUUGUCUGUUGAGAUAUUGAAGUAGUAUUGGAGAUUGACAAGAUGCUGGGAAAUAUGAAAAAGCUGUGACGGCUAUUGGUGGUAAGCUUUGAGGUACAGUAUAGGUGGAUGAGAAGGGAAUUUUAAUUUGGUUUUUGAUGUCAUCAUCCCAAGAUGCUGGUUUUCACAUCCCUCUCUACCUUCAAAUUAACCUACCUUCUUUUUCUAUUUUAAGCUCAUUGUUGUUUCUAUGCAAAUGGAUCUCUCUACUAUGGAACUGAUGUAAAUAAAUGGUUGUCUUCAAAUAUGGGUCUUUGAGCAAUUUCUCUCUAAAUUUAUAGGGUACUUUGCAAAGGAAAGAAGAGGGUGAUGCAUAUUUUUCCUUCUU